GAUCAUGGCUCAGGAUGAACGCUGGCGGCGUGCUUAACACAUGCAAGUCGAGCGGAGAUAAAUUGAAAGCUUGCUUUUAAUUUAUCUUAGCGGCGGACGGGUGAGUAACGUGUGGGCAACCUGCCUCAUACAGAGGGAUAAUCAUGUGAAAACGUGACUAAUACCGCAUGUCGUUUCGGGAGGCAUCUCCUCGAAAGAAAAGGAAGGCAAUACCGGUUACGUGAGAAUGGGCCCGGCCAU
This 240-nucleotide ribosomal RNA is filed under the name uncultured bacterium. RNAcentral's name for it is "partial 16S ribosomal RNA". It matches the Rfam family "Bacterial small subunit ribosomal RNA", at positions 15 to 241 of the family's 1533-position model. The record is from RNAcentral.